GGAAGGCUGCCAGAGCGGACGAAUGGGACGGCCUCGAAAGCCGUUGAAGUCUUCGGGCUUCCGUGGGUUCGAAUCCCACGCCUUCCGCCA
Molecule: transfer RNA, 90 nt
Filed under: bacterium
Lineage: Bacteria
Also listed under: 5 other names
Description: tRNA-Ser
Rfam family: tRNA
About the family: Transfer RNA (tRNA) molecules are approximately 80 nucleotides in length. Their secondary structure includes four short double-helical elements and three loops (D, anti-codon, and T loops).
Source: RNAcentral